CCCUUAGAUGUUCCGGGCCGCACGCGCGCUACACUGACGGAUUCAACGAGCUUACAACCUUGGCCGAAAGGUCUGGGUAAUCUCCAAAAUCCGUCGUGAUGGGGAUAGAUUAUUGCAAUUAUUAAUCUUCAACGAGGAAUGCCUAGUAAGCGCAAGUCAUCAGCUUGCGUUGAUUACGUCCCUGCCCUUUGUACACACCGCCCGUCGCUCCUACCGAUUGAAUGGUCCGGUGAAGCGUUUGGACUAUGGUUUUCUGAUGGUCCGCCGUUGGAUUACCGUGGGAAGUUCGUUAAACCUUAUCAUUUAGAGGAAGGAGAAGUCGUAACA
This 327-nucleotide ribosomal RNA is filed under the name uncultured eukaryote. RNAcentral describes it as "partial 18S ribosomal RNA". It matches the Rfam family "Eukaryotic small subunit ribosomal RNA", at positions 1470 to 1796 of the family's 1831-position model. The record is from RNAcentral.